This 206-nucleotide ribosomal RNA is filed under the name uncultured bacterium. RNAcentral's name for it is "partial 16S ribosomal RNA". It matches the Rfam family "Bacterial small subunit ribosomal RNA", at positions 1297 to 1500 of the family's 1533-position model. The record is from RNAcentral.
ACUGCAGGCUGCAACUCGCCUGCACGAAGUCGGAAUUGCUAGUAAUCGUAGGUCAGCAUACUACGGUGAAUACGUUCCCGGGCCUUGUACACACCGCCCGUCAAACCAUGAGAGUUGGCAACACCCGAAGCCGGUGACCCAACCAAGAAUGGAGGGAGCCGUCGAAGGUGGGACCGAUAACUGGGGUGAAGUCGUAACAAGGUAAC